CCUACGGGAGGCAGCAGUGGGGAAUAUUGCACAAUGGGGGAAACCCUGAUGCAGCAACGCCGCGUGAAGGAAGACGGUUUUAGGAUUGGAAACUUCCGUUCGUAGUGAAGCAUAAUGAGGGUAGCUAAGGAGCAAGCCAAGGCUAACUCAGUGCCAGCAGCCGCGGUAAUACGUAGGUGGCAAGCGUUGUCCGGAAUUACUGGGGGUAAAGGGAGCGCAGGCGGGAAGCCCAGUUAGCUGUGAAAACUACGGGCUUAACUUGUAGACUGCAGUUGAAACUGGUUUUCUUGAGUGAAGUAGGGGUUGGCGGAAUUCCGAGUGUAGCGGUGAAAUGCGUAGAUAUUCGGAGGAAAACCGGUGGCGAAGGCGGCCAACUGGGCUUUAACUGACGCUGAGGCUCGAAAGUGUGGGGAGCAAACAGGAUUAGAGACCCCAGUAGUC
RNAcentral lists this ribosomal RNA (441 nucleotides) under uncultured bacterium. RNAcentral describes it as "partial 16S ribosomal RNA". It matches the Rfam family "Bacterial small subunit ribosomal RNA", at positions 338 to 795 of the family's 1533-position model. The record is from RNAcentral.